GCCAGAGUGAUGUAGUGGUUAGAGCACUGGACUAUGACUCUGGAAACCAGGGUUUGAAUCCUUGCUUCGUUA
Molecule: non-coding RNA, 72 nt
Organism: Phrynosoma platyrhinos (Desert horned lizard)
Lineage: Eukaryota; Metazoa; Chordata; Lepidosauria; Squamata; Phrynosomatidae
Source: the annotation of a GenBank genome assembly